GUUAGCUUCUUCUACUGGUUUAAUGCCUCAAGGGGUUAGCUCCUCCUGGUGGGUUGGGGCCUCAAGGAUCAAUUUAUUCUAGUGGAUUCACAAGCAUGAAUCCAUUUUCACCUAUCCUCACUAAUGUAAGUCAACAACUAUCUUUGUUGUCACCACCACCACCACCACCUCCACCACCACAAAAACAA
Molecule: long non-coding RNA, 188 nt
Organism: Telopea speciosissima
Lineage: Eukaryota; Viridiplantae; Streptophyta; Magnoliopsida; Proteales; Proteaceae
Exons: 2
Source: RefSeq, a predicted model, not a curated record